AGUGGCGGACGGGUGAGUAACGCGUAAGAAUCUAACUUCAGGACGGGGACAACAGUUGGAAACGACUGCUAAUACCCGAUAUGCCGCGAGGUGAAACCUAAUUGGCCUGAAGAAGAGCUUGCGUCUGAUUAGCUAGUUGGUGGGGUAAGAGCCUACCAAGGCGACGAUCAGUAGCUGGUCUGAGAGGAUGAGCAGCCACACUGGGACUGAGACACGGCCCAGACUCCUACGGGAGGCAGCAGUGGGGAAUUUUCCGCAAUGGGCGAAAGCCUGACGGAGCAACGCCGCGUGAGGGAGGAAGGUCUUUGGAUUGUAAACCUCUUUUCUCAAGGAAGAAGUUCUGACGGUACUUGAGGAAUCAGCCUCGGCUAACUCCGUGCCAGCAGCCGCGGUAAUACGGGGGAGGUAAGCGUUAUCCGGAAUUAUUGGGCGUAAAGCGUCCGCAGGUGGUCAGCCAAGUCUGCCGUCAAAUCAGGUUGCUUAACGACCUAAAGGCGGUGGAAACUGGCAGACUAGAGAGCAGUAGGGGUAGCAGGAAUUCCCAGUGUAGCGGUGAAAUGCGUAGAGAUUGGGAAGAACAUCGGUGGCGAAAGCGUGCUACUGGGCUGUAUCUGACACUCAGGGACGAAAGCUAGGGGAGCGAAAGGGAUUAGAUACCCCUGUAGUCCUAGCCGUAAACGAUGGAUACUAGGCGUGGCUU
This 700-nucleotide ribosomal RNA is filed under the name uncultured bacterium. Its description in RNAcentral is "bacterial SSU rRNA". It matches the Rfam family "Bacterial small subunit ribosomal RNA", at positions 94 to 828 of the family's 1533-position model. The record is from RNAcentral.